AUGGAAUUACCUUUUUGCUCACAUAAUCCCCUCUUACCUUUUUGCUCACCAAUUAAUCUCUCCACCGAGGCAGAGGAGGAUCUCCUGCUAGAGCUUGGCAGCACCGGAGGCGUUGUGAGGAGAUGCCAAGGUGCCGGUGGUGUGUGCGUUGCUGGUGGUGCUCCGCAAGGACGAGUGCCGAUCUGCACCCGAUGUUUGCUGGAAGAGCUUUGUACAGAACCGGAGAUUAGGAGGAAUGGACAUACAAGAAACAAUUCCGGAAGAUUCCCUAGGGAAGCAAAAAUUGUUUACUGGUCUGUGUAG
Molecule: ribosomal RNA, 303 nt
Filed under: Triticum aestivum (bread wheat)
Lineage: Eukaryota; Viridiplantae; Streptophyta; Magnoliopsida; Poales; Poaceae
Description: partial small subunit ribosomal RNA
Source: RNAcentral